RNAcentral lists this unclassified non-coding RNA (170 nucleotides) under uncultured fungus. Its description in RNAcentral is "sequence contains ITS1, 5.8S rRNA gene". Lineage: Eukaryota; Fungi. The record is from RNAcentral.
CCGAGUAUCGGUACCCUUAUGGGUACCAGCUCCCACCAUCUGUGAACCUUUUUCGUUGCCUCGGCGUACCUGAUGGUACCCAUCCUCCGGCUUCCGGCUGGGGAGCGUACGCCGAUGGAUUUUCAAACCCGAUUUUAACCUUGAAAUCUGAGCAAAACAAAAUAAAAACA